This 446-nucleotide ribosomal RNA is filed under the name uncultured soil bacterium. RNAcentral's name for it is "bacterial SSU rRNA". It matches the Rfam family "Bacterial small subunit ribosomal RNA", at positions 26 to 518 of the family's 1533-position model. The record is from RNAcentral.
AGAACGAACGCUGGCGGCAUGCCUAACACAUGCAAGUCGAACGGGACCUUCGGGUCUAGUGGCGCACGGGUGCGUAACGCGUGGGAACCUGCCCUUAGGUUCGGAAUAACGCCUCGAAAGGGGUGCUAAUACCGGAUAAUGUCUUCGGACCAAAAAUUUAUUGCCUUUGGAUGGGCCCGCGUUGGAUUAGCUUGUUGGUGGGGUAAAGGCCUACCAAGGCGACGAUCCAUAGCUGGUCUUAGAGGAUGAUCAGCCACACUGGGACUGAGACACGGCCCAGACUCCUACGGGAGGCAGCAGUGGGGAAUAUUGGACAAUGGGCGAAAGCCUGAUCCAGCAAUGCCGCGUGAGUGAUGAAGGCCCUAGGGUUGUAAAGCUCUUUUACCCGGGAUGAUAAUGACAGUACCGGGAGAAUAAGCUCCGGCUAACUCCGUGCCAGCAGCCGC